RNAcentral lists this ribosomal RNA (520 nucleotides) under Xestogaster sp. 1 AMV2011a. RNAcentral describes it as "partial 12S ribosomal RNA". Lineage: Eukaryota; Metazoa; Arthropoda; Insecta; Coleoptera; Curculionidae. The record is from RNAcentral.
GGUUAAACUUAUGAUACAAUAAAAAAUUAUUGGUUAUAAUUAAUGAUUAUUUUUGAAUUUAAUUUUAAUUUUAUUAGGUGAAAUUUCUAAAGUUGGAGUAAGUUUUUUUUAUAUAUAUGAGGUUAUUAAAUUUAGGUUAUAGACUAGGAUUAGAUACCCUAUUAUUCUAAUUGAGAUGUAAUUAGCCAGAUUAGUAAUAGUUAUUAUCUUGAAAAUUAAAGGAAUUGGCGGUAUUUUAGUCUAUUCAGAGGAACCUGUCCUAUAAUCGAUGGUCCACGUGUUUUUUUACUUAUUUUAUUAGUUUGUAUAUCGCCGUAUAUUGAAUAUUUUUUAAUGAGUUAAAUGUUCAAGAUUUUCAUGUGAAUAAAAUUCAGGUCAAGGUAUAGCUUAUAGGUAAGAAGAGAUGGGUUACAAUAAAUUUAUUUAUAUGAAUUAGUAAAUUAAAUUUUACUAUGAAGGUGGAUUUGAAGGUAAUUGUAUUAAAAUAAAUAUGAUGAUUUUAGCUCUAAAAUAUGUACAU